ACUCAUUUUUUCCCCACACACUCCUUUUUGACCAAUUUUCCCACCCCACAUCCCAUUUUGGGGCUCCUUUUGGCCAAUUCUGGGUCUCCUUUCCACCCAUUUUCCCCCCACACACUCCUUUUUGACCCAAUUUUUCCCCCCCACAUCCCAUUUUGGGGCUCCUUUCCACUCAUUUUGGGGCCCCUUUUCACCCAUUUUCCCCCACCACUCUCCUUUUUGACCCAAUUUUUCCCCACACAUCCCAUUUUGGGGCUCCUUUCCACCCAUUUUGGGGCCCCUUUUGACCCACUUUUCCCCACCACUCUCCUUUUUGACCCAUUUUUCCCACUGCACGUCCCAUUCUGGGGCUCCUUUCCAUCCAUUUUUCCCCCCACACACUACUUUUUGACCCAAUUUUUCCCCCCACA
This 407-nucleotide long non-coding RNA is filed under the name Anas platyrhynchos platyrhynchos (common mallard). Its description in RNAcentral is "lncRNA (ENSAPLG00000029360.1)". The record is from RNAcentral. Lineage: Eukaryota; Metazoa; Chordata; Aves; Anseriformes; Anatidae.